Powellomyces hirtus is the source of this 72-nucleotide non-coding RNA. NCBI's taxonomy places the organism in Eukaryota, Fungi, Chytridiomycota, Chytridiomycetes, Spizellomycetales, Powellomycetaceae. The record is from the annotation of a GenBank genome assembly.
GGUCCCUUGGUCUAGUGGCACGAUUCUCGCUUUGGGUGCGAGAGGUCCCGGGUUCAAACCCCGGAGGGACCC